This 233-nucleotide ribosomal RNA is filed under the name Escherichia coli. RNAcentral describes it as "partial 23S ribosomal RNA". It matches the Rfam family "Bacterial large subunit ribosomal RNA", at positions 1125 to 1356 of the family's 2925-position model. The record is from RNAcentral. Lineage: Bacteria; Pseudomonadati; Pseudomonadota; Gammaproteobacteria; Enterobacterales; Enterobacteriaceae.
AAAGAAAGCGUAAUAGCUCACUGGUCGAGUCGGCCUGCGCGGAAGAUGUAACGGGGCUAAACCAUGCACCGAAGCUGCGGCAGCGACGCUUAUGCGUUGUUGGGUAGGGGAGCGUUCUGUAAGCCUGUGAAGGUGUACUGUGAGGUAUGCUGGAGGUAUCAGAAGUGCGAAUGCUGACAUAAGUAACGAUAAAGCGGGUGAAAAGCCCGCUCGCCGGAAGACCAAGGGUUCCU